CUUCAGAUCUUUAUACGGCCACUGAUCCAACAGAUGAUGAUUCUUCUCGUAACUUAACUUAUUCGUCUCCUGCAACAGAUCUGGAUAAGGCUUCUAAUCCUGUUUCCGCUUCUGCUUUAGCUGAUUCUUCUUAGUAAUAGUACGAUUCCACUCUCUAUACUAGAGCCCCCAUCUUUCUUCAAUUCUUCAAUGAAACAAACCGGAUCUUGAUCCAUCUUCUUUACCAGCUUCCUCUGUUACUCUUGAUCUAUCUGAUGAUCCUGCUCUACCUAACCCGGAAACCAGAAGUUCUUUACUUGUUACGAAGGGAAGCAGUGGGAGUAGAAUUCAUGGGUUUUGGCAAUUCCGGUAGUUUCGUUCGGGUCAAGCCAAGUGAUAGGGCAGGAGGUGCAAGCCAAGUUCAAAGAACUAUAGGAGCAAAGCCAAGUUCAAGGGAGCAGCGAGGGUAAAGUCAACAGUCAGUUUAGGAGUGUAGCACCGGAGACAAAGUCAAUGCAAGCGGUUCUUCAAGUUCCAUUUCCUUUCUGGUUCUUGUUUUGUCAUAUAUAGAAGCCGAGACAGAAUGCUUAGGCAAAAGUGCUGUAGCAAGCAGGUAAUCUGAAAGUGGAACAAACAACUGGCUUUCACACUCGAUUGAGAGUUCCGGGCAGAAUUAUGUAAAGGCUUUGAUGCCCUAAAGGGAGCUAGGAGAAUAGAGAAAGAAGGGAGCUAAGCUAGUGUAAUAGAGAAAGAAGGGAGCUAGGCUAGGAGAAUAGAGAAAGAAGGGAGCUAGUGUAAUAGAGAAGGGAGCGGCUGCCCCGGAUAAGCUAAACGAGUAUUCUAACGAGCCCUGCUGCACUGCUAUUGUCUGGUAGGGGAAGCAAAGGGCUAACAUAUGUACGUACGAGUUAAGUUACUCCUUUCUAUAAUAGUAAUAUAGUUGCACUAAAUAAAACAAGCGAGUUUAGGUUUAGUUCGCCGGGGUGCUAAGGGGUACGGUGCCUCUAUUCGUGAUUAAGGCAAACAGUGAGUACCGUAUAUUAGUAGUAAUGUUAUGCUCUUAUCUCAAUGUAAGUGCAAAUGAUUUUCAACAAAAGUAACAGAGUGAGUAACGCUAGCAAAAAGCCGUAUCGCACAACAGAACAAUAAAGAAUAGGAAGAGCAAAGCAGUGAGUCGGAGCGGUUUCAAUGGCAUUCAUAACUUCAAGGAGAGGCUCUUAUUGUAAGUUCGCUAAGCAAGAAAGAUUACUGUUUGGUUUGACUGAACACGAAGACUCAACUGGCCCAGGCCCAACAAGAGUAAGUGCGCUAACAGGAGUUUUUUACAGUUCCGUUUAUAGGUAAAUAGGAGAAUAAGCAAGAUCAUAACCUAGAUAAUCUACAGGAACAAGCCGAUAACGAUCAGAUUCCAAAGAAAGGGAUUCAGUACGGGUGAAGUCUCCGAGAUCAGAAAGGUUUUUAGUGUAUUUACUUAGAUCUAUACAAAGUGUUCGAGAAGAGAGGCAGAGUUGAGAGAACAAGCCAGGGGUCUAUUGGAGGUAGUUGACAGAGCCUAGCCUGUAGUUGGUGAGUUUCAUCCGAAAUGUAAUCCUAUAGAAAGAUCCAUAAUAUGAGAAAGUUCUUUUACAAGUCUAGGUUUUGGUGAACCAACCCAGUACUCUUUCACCCCAUUAAUUAAGGGCACAGGACAAUUCAGUUAGAUGAGAUGGAAAGGUAUUGAUGCCUACCUAUUGCAUGAUCAACUGCUGAAGUCAAGUAUCCGAAGAAGCAACUAAGAAUAAUUUCAUUCCUUCCCAUAUAGAAGCAGUGCUAAAGAAGCAAGUAAGAAGGGCAAGACUCCUUAAGAUGUGACCAAUACCCGAGGCCCCAUAUGACCAGUAAGAUAGAAUCCAAUCCGGUAACUAACCAAACCCAGUACUUGACUUCUUUCUUGACUUCAACUUAUGCUCUUUGAACAAGGGCGAAAUUCUUCUUAGUAGUUCAUUCCUCCUGACUGAGAGGGGCAAGCAGUAAGGAGUGAGGUUAAAGCAUCAUAGUCGAGGUGGGCAAGGUUUACAAUAAGUCCUUUGUUCAGCAAGCGGGUAUCUCGGGCUAAAGUCAGCUACCGGGCUAUUCAAUUAGUAGGCGUCAAUGCACUAUAACAUCACUUCUGGGGUUUGAUGGUCAAUCACAUUAAAAACAGAUAUGGAUUAGAAAUAAUGCAUUUCAAUCCUAUAAAACAUGGGCAAGAGAACCAGUGGAAUUCUUUUUCUUUCUUGUUUCAUUCUACUUAUACUAAUACUUAGAAGCGGUCUUCUACUCUGCAACUAAGAAGAAGGGAGAAGAAUAAUCAUAAGGGAUAAGAAGAGGAUUGAGCUAUGAAGUCAUUGAUACCUGUAUUAUAUAUAACUCCUAACUCGAAACUCCUAAUACUUUCUUUUAAAUACUAUAACUCCGGUGCCAGUUUUCUUCUUUAAUGCCGGUUUCAUCCCCGCCAAGUAACUACUAGACAAGACACUGCUUCUUUUAUCGUAGACAACACUAGAACUUCACCUUUGUAGUGGGCAUGAGAUUAGAGCUAGAUGAGAUGAGGCUGAAAGUGCAACUUAUUCUCGGCUUCUGGUACUCUCCUUUCUACUUCAACUGAUCCUGAUCCAGCUUAUUCGACUGCAUCCGCUGACUCGUCACUUUCAGAAUUGACUGAACUUGUUGCUCCUGACUCCACUAAUACGGAUACUGAUGUUUCGAGUGCCAAUGGAGCUCCCCCGGAUCUUGCUGCCUCACCGGAUACGGCGGAUUCUCUAUACGCCAACUAAGGUCAAUCAAGCCAAUCUGCUUCCUUUACACCAAAGCAAACUGCGGAUUCUAUCAACUCUCCGGAAACUGGAAUGGAAUCUAUUGGCGAGUCCACAAAUAAAUCAUCUCUCUCGGCAAGAACCUAUAUUGGUGAUUCCAUUGAGAAAGCUUCUGCACUUGCUUAUGGAGUUAAGGGGCGGGGUGCUUAUUCCAUUGAUUCUCACUUUCCGGGAGGUAAUACUAACUCUGGCUUGGGAACCUGCGAUUCUCUUACGCCCCACUUCCUCAAAUUAUGAUAUAUAUAACCAUUAUUCUAUGACUUAGCUUUUGCACCAAUGAUUCUCAUUCCUAAAGUAGCACUACAACUUCUGAAAGUAACAUAGCUCGUUAUUAAGGUAGCAUCACCUAUUCUGUGAGUGGUAAUUCACUCGUUCUGUGAGCGUAACAUUAACUCAUUUAUUUUCAUAUGUUGUGUUGCGCGUCCUCAGUCUGUUAGCGGCUAUUCCCUCCCUCGGUCUUCGGGCGAAACAUCGAAUGUCAUCGAGUGUCUUCGCUCAUUCACCCAUGCUUAGAAGGUACAUUGCACAUGCUUAGAAGGUCCAUUGCUUUCCCUUUUGAUGCUUAUAACAGUCAGUUCGAUUAUGUCUCCCCGUCCUGGGUCCCUAACGAGAAAAGGCUUAUGCAGAGUAUGGUUUAGAAGAAAGCAAAGUGGUAUAAGUUUUCAACAAGGGGAUAGGGAAGUGCAAUAAGCUAUACGGAACGAAACCACCCAACUAUAUUCUGGUUUGUAUUAAUAGAAAUGUAUUAAUAGAAAAACCACCACUAUACUCUCUUUGGACAGCGCCGAUGCUAUUCUUGCUUUUGUUUGGCAGUGCUUCUUAUAAGAUAGUUUACUCAGUGCCAAUUCUAUUACUGAGCUCUGGAAUCUAUAGCACGACCUACUAUAUAAUAAUAAUAUAAUAAAUGCUAACUAUCAAGUAAGAAUCAACUAAUACUAUUGGAAUGGAACUGGGAAUUAAGACACCUAUAACGAAUGAAACGAGUACUAAUAGGAAUGAAACAAUCAAUACGGGCUUAAGGAAUGAGCUCGACAAGCAACGGACCAAGCUUAGUUUAGUAUAGACAAGCAACGGCAACUAUAAGAAUAGAACUUCUACAGAUGAUACUUUAACAGCUUACCAACAGGGCUUAUGCUCAACACUAGGGCUUUUCACUGGAAAUGUAGGUUAAUAACAGGCUCGAACUGGCGACUACCUUACUUUUACUCAUAACUCGGGCUACAACUCAUAACUAAGGCCCCGGCUACAGCUUCUUUAAACUCAGGCUUCGGCUACAGCUUUUAGAGCUCAGCUCUUUAACUCAGAAGUAAGGCUGGCACUGCCUACUAAAAGCAUUAACUCAACACUCAUUCUUAUACUCCUUGCAAAAGUCUGCCUCUGUGGGCGCAUACUCUACCUUCUACUCUUAAAGUGGAGUGUAAGCCUUCUAAUUGCAAGUUUCAAACUGGCUGGCUCCUGUCCUGCGUGGACCAAAUCCGUAUUCUAUUUGGUCGCUUCAGUCCUGCUUGUUGGUUUUAUAGCCUCCCUCCUUUGGGUACCCAACUAAGAUGGGGCAGAAUGAACUCAACAGUCAAAGAACUCAACACAGUAGUAAUGAGCACCAAGCGCAUGGGGUCAGAAGUCAACUCAUUAGUCUCAGUGGCUUUUUCCUCUACUUUGGAACUCAGACUUUCACUCAUAAGUCGAAAUGGAACUAGUGCUUCUAAUAUGAUAACUUUGAACUGGGCUCUAAACUACUCCUUUUGCCGGGUCUGCUCUUCAUUCUCAUACUAGAACCUUGCUUUCUCACUUAUCAGUCACCAAGCAACUACUAAUGACCAAGCCACUACUAACCAAACAACGGCGCAAGACGUUGAGCGGUAGCAAUAGUAAUAGAUAUAACAAAGUUAUUACAAUAGAUGUGUUCUGGGCGGUAGGAGGAAGUGAGCUAAACGUUAGCGAGUCCGGGGCCUGACUAGUCCAAUUCUCACUUUGGUAACACCUACUUCUAUUCUAACUGCUGUCAUUGUACUAGAGCAUCGGAGACUCGGGGGGAAUGUAGCUGCUUCUUUAAGGCUUCUACUUACUAGUUGGAUUCUGAGUCUUAUACUAGAUGCUUACUACUAGCAGCGGAGGCCCAGGACUACUAGACUUAACGAGCACCUCCAACUGGUAUGAAACAAAUUCCACUUCACGAAACCCGUGUUUUUGGGUAGCAACCCUGUUUUCGCUAAUAGACCCAUGAAAAAGAGAUAGAAUUUCAUGAAAACCCGUUAAACAACACUGCCGCGUAACAUUCUGUUCCUUGGCGGGUAGCAUUGGAGUUUUCCUUCCUGAGUGCCCAGAUUGAAAUGGCCAAGACACUCGGAGACAACUACAAUAAGAAACAACAUAAGGUAUAUUUAUGAUGAGCUAUGCCUUAAGAUGUGUUCAGGCGCGGCAGCCCAAUAAUAGUUAUAACGAAGUUAUUACAAUAGAUGUUUUCGUUGCGUUUUCCCGUGUUUUUUGGUUGUAAAUGGAUUUCCCUUCCUGAGGCACCUGAUGGAAAUUACAAUUUCACGUUUUCCCGGGAUUUUUCAUAGCAAAUAGAAUUUCCCUCCUGAGCCGGUCCAUUGAAAUGAGAUUUUUUACGAAACACGGUAAACAGCGCUGCCGCGUAACAUUAGCAGUUACUUGGCUCAUAGCAAAUGGGGAAAUAGUAUGGUACUUCACUUAGGCUUCCACUCGGUAUUCAACUAUAGUACCGACCUCGACUCACCAGACUUAAGAACCAACACCCUACUUUAGAACCAGAGCUGGGGCAGUACCACCAGGAGCUGUACUCAAGGGAGCAGUACUAAAGGGAUGGGAUGAAACUCUAACUCGACAAACAAGAACAGCCCCGAUUGCAGCUGGCUCUUCCAAACUAUCCCUAGCUACUUUCCUAGACUUAACUAACACAACACAAUAUCCUCUUGGGCUUCUUCUCCUGGAACUGUCACUGUAACAGGAAUAGGACAAAUACUAUAAUCAUAAGGGCCUUAUAGUAAUUUGGGAGCUACACUAAGAAUUCCACUAUCAACUCUAAACUCNNNNNNNNNNNNNNNNNNNNNNNNNNNNNNNNNNNNNNNNNNNNNNNNNNNNNNNNNNNNNNNNNNNNNNNNNNNNNNNNNNNNNNNNNNNNNNNNNNNNNNNNNNNNNNNNNNNNNNNNNNNNNNNNNNNNNNNNNNNNNNNNNNNNNNNNNNNNNNNNNNNNNNNNNNNNNNNNNNNNNNNNNNNNNNNNNNNNNNNNNNNNNNNNNNNNNNNNNNNNNNNNNNNNNNNNNNNNNNNNNNNNNNNNNNNNNNNNNNNNNNNNNNNNNNNNNNNNNNNNNNNNNNNNNNNNNNNNNNNNNNNNNNNNNNNNNNNNNNNNNNNNNNNNNNNNNNNNNNNNNNNNNNNNNNNNNNNNNNNNNNNNNNNNNNNNNNNNNNNNNNNNNNNNNNNNNNNNNNNNNNNNNNNNNNNNNNNNNNNNNNNNNNNNNNNNNNNNNNNNNNNNNNNNNNNNNNNNNNNNNNNNNNNNNNNNNNNNNNNNNNNNNNNNNNNNNNNNNNNNNNNNNNNNNNNNNNNNNNNNNNNNNNNNNNNNNNNNNNNNNNNNNNNNNNNNNNNNNNNNNNNNNNNNNNNNNNNNNNNNNNNNNNNNNNNNNNNNNNNNNNNNNNNNNNNNNNNNNNNNNNNNNNNNNNNNNNNNNNNNNNNNNNNNNNNNNNNNNNNNNNNNNNNNNNNNNNNNNNNNNNNNNCAAUCUAGUUUCCUUAAUAAAGAUAGAGAAAAUUAUCCACUCGCCAAGUCACUCCUAAUGUGUAGCGGCAGUGAGCUACCCCCUACUAUGUCUGUACUGAAUAGAUACAUAAGAAAUUGUAAGACUUUUCUUGAUUAUUUGUGAUUUGAGAAUUUGUGAUUGGAUUGUUUUGAUCAUUUCUUUGAUACUUGAAAAAAGGCUCCUCUCCUAUACUACUCCUCUGUAAACUAACCACUCCUACUUAAUAUAAGGGCAGCUAAAUCCAUUCCUUUCUCAAGAAUUCCACUAGCUACUCUUAACUACUGGCAAAUCAUGCAACAGGGGAUUACACUCUCACUGGAGCAGUACUCAAGGUCUUACACUCUAACUCACAACUAGGAGCUCUCAAUCCGGUCUUCAACUAGCCAAUAACCUACUACUCGGGAAAGCUAUCAAACUGGAAUGUCAAUUUACUUAGACACAAGCAACUCUGAUCCUUAUGAAAGACAAUCAUAUCAAUCAGAGCAUUCUCUACGGUAACCGGAUGACGAAAACCAGACUUGCUACAGGCAACGUACUCACGCCGACGACUGACGAAAACAGAAAUGGAAUUUCCAGAGAUAUAUAUAAGACUCAAUUCUCAUAGAUAUAUAUAAGAUCAUAUGGAAAUGGAAUUCUUCACAGAAGGGAUCGGUGUUUUAAAGAAGAUGGAUUUCUUAUUUGAUGCUUUACCAGUUUUACCAGCUUUACCUGCUUACAGCCUAUUACUUGUAGUACCUGCGGAAUAGGUUAUUUUCGAAAGGGAACCUUCUCAGAAAGAGUCAUUUCCUAACUUGUAGCUCGGUUUCCUUUGAAGUAAAGUUGGCAUGGCACGCACGAGUCUUCUUUAAUAUAAUGGCCCACUUUGGCUUUAGCCGGAUCUUCGGAGGCAGAAAAAGGUAACUGAGACUCUCUUUAGCAACUGUUGUGCUACUUCUUGAGUCUAUUCUUUCAUUUCUUUUUGUUCUAGCUUAGCUUUCCAAAUGAAACCUACACUCUCUACUCAUGUCAUGAAGCGCUUGUAAAGACUCCUUUGUCACUGGACAUGCACUAUUGAUUAAUUCUCACUACUAGUAGUAAUAAGAGUGUCUAUAUGGGAGUAAUAAGAGUGUCUAUAUGGAACCUUGAAAGGUGUAACAAUAAAUGGACCUAACUACUAGCUCAUAACUCUAAGGAAAGCAUAGUUAGGAACGGUUCACAAGAUGGAAACAAUGGGCCAAGCCCACAAGACACUCAAGCACAACAUAAAUAAGAAAAACAACAUAAAGUGUUUUGUUUGUUCUCUGACUUUCCAUUCCUACUAAGAGCACUGGGUUAGUUGCCCUAAUCUAUGAGACCCCUUUUCUCCGGCGAUACUAUACCCCUUUUAUCCGGCUCAUUCAUCUAUAUUCUUGUUUGCAAUGUAAAGGAAGAAGAGGCUCUUAGCACCUCGGUGCCGUGCCCUAAACAGAAGAGAGUUUCCUCAGUGCCCCCCCAGUUCUCCAUUCUGACUUGAUAGUUUCCUCAGUGCCAAUUCCUUUCUUAGUUUUUGUUGAGAGGUGACUUCUGACUUUAUUAUGAGAUUAUUCUAGCAGACGUCGAAUCUCUAUCUUACUACUCUUAUGACUUGACUCUUAUAUCUAUUAUUCUUGCAGACCUAGCUCAGCACUCUGGUUAUGACCUUCCAGUUGAAUACUUAUCAAGAGAACUAGGUUGCUUGGCGGUUGAUGCACUGGUUUCAUCCCUUGUUUGAUUCCGAUUGGUAUUGAUUGAAGCCUUAGCAACAGUAGUGUGAGACCUCAGCUACCCAACAUCAGCCCGUGACUCACUAGCGGCAGUCCGAGGAGCAGCAGCACCAGUCCAAUACUACCUUAGCAUCAGUCCAAUACCUAGCAGACACCGCAUCAGCCUGUAAUUACCUAGGCCAAUUCUUGUUAGCACUUGUUUAAGUUUGAUAGCUAGCAGAGAUAGACUGAUCUGAAAGGGAGUUAGCCCGGGAUCUUAGUGCUAAUCUGUAUAUUCCCAGUCCGAUGUAAGAUAUGACUCAUGAGUUUGAUACGGUGCCCACUAAGCCAACUUCUCUAUUUCGAGUUAAAGCAUGAAAAGCACUAGUAUAAGUUUUGAAGCGGUAAAGGUAAGACUCACUUCUUAACUCAUUAAUGUUGUUAGUAGCAGGCCUAUAGUUAAUAUAGGUUACUUAUUAAUAGUUCUAGUUUGUUUGCCAGCAGUUAUAGUUUGUUUGCCAGCAGUUCUGUUUGUUACUAGUUUCAAUCUUGCUAUCAGCAACUAAGGUCUUAAAAGAAAUAGUACAGGGCUAAGUUCCGAACCAGAGUCUUAUUGGUAGUUGUGAAAGAAUACAAGUCAGUAGUUACAGAAGAAUAUCUGAUAGUCAAAGACGUAGUAAGGUUGUUGUGGGCAAGUAGUAAGUCUUAGUUCCUAGUGUGAGUCUCGUUGUGCGCAGUUAGAUUCCCUAUUUUGUACUUGAUAGUUGAAGUUUACAGGGGCCCAUUAAAGGCUUAGUUCCGAGUUCUUUUCUUAUAGUAUGGUGUAGUGUUCAAUUCCUAGUUAGAAGUUCUCGUCUAUCAGAGUGGUAUUGCAUUCUAUCAGUACUAUUUAUAUUCUAAUAGAGUGGGGGAGGGCUCCUAGGCCCAAGUGUCAAAGUCAGUCCUAUUAUACACUGGUAAAUGCUUAUUGGUAGUGAUUUCAAUCCCGGUUAUGAACAAAUAAGGUCUUAUCGGAUACUAGUAAAUUCCCUAUUCCUGUAUUUCUUCUAAUAAGUAGUAUAGGUUGGUUCGAAUAAGUAGUAUAGGUUGGUGCUGGAGUGCCCAGUUUUAUUACACGCCCAGAGAGAGAGAGUCUUGCUGGACACUAGUGAAGUUUGAGAAGGCAUUAGUGAAGUCCGAGCGGGCAGUGGUUCAUCCCCUUUUGAUUAGUAAUUCCAUUCUGUUGAUUGACACUCUAAUUCUAUUAGGCCCCUUGCUCCGGUAUUAACUCAAUUGUUGUAAGGAGUAGCUCAAUCCCGAGUUCCCGGUUCGAUAUCUCUAGUUGUUAGUUAAAGUAGUAGUAGCACCAGUCCAAUUCUUAUCUACAGUAGUCAAAGUCUCUAUUCCAAGUUGAGUCUAUCAGGUAGUGGUCUCACUCCUGCCGGUAGUAACUAGAGUCUAAGAAGCACCCGGUUAGGUCUCAUGGUCCACCAAGUCAUUCUAUAUUCUAAGAUCAAGUCAUUCGAUUUAUUAGUUUGAUUCCCGAGCUCAAUUCUAAUAGGUAGCGAGUUUAGGGCUAGGGCCGCUACACUCUUUCGGCGCUUCUCAUACUGUCACACUACAUAACUUAGGCUUUCACUCCUACUAAUAAGGAUCCGACUAUACUUGCUUAAAACCUGACUUGCCCCUCUUAUACUACGACUAAUCAGAAUUGACCUAGUAAAAACAAGGGCAGCUUUAGCUGGCUGCCGAUUGCUUUAAGGGAUUUCACUACCAACUACUGUAGGUCUACCGAUACUGAUCUCAAAACUAUAUUUACUUGCUGCCAACUCGAACUAUCCUUCUGAAAAUACCCUACCGCUCCUAACUCUUGAAAUGGUUCCUACCAGACUGAAUGCGCACUUACGGAAUUAAGCAUGGAAUACAUGAUUUCACUCAACGGUAACAGGCUUCAACUUGAGAGCACCAGAAACGGAAUUUGCUGUAGAAGGAAUGGAUUCUUACACAGAACUCCUUGCUUACUUAAUUGAAUCUCUCGAGCAACUAACAGAAACUCACCGUCACCGGACUAAUGCACCCCGUAGAAGCUCAUUAACACGCAAGUAACAGAAUGAAUGAAAUCCUUCUAGCUAAAGAGAAAGUAUAGAAUGUGUUUGUAAUAUUGCCCCUACUACUCUAUACAAUACUUGCUUGUUUGAUUAAAUGAAUGAGCCGAUCUAUACCUAAAGUCAAUUAUGGACUUCCCUUGACCCUGGAUUGAGAAUAUUAAUUAGCCCUUUAUAGUAGUAUUAUUGAUUUACCUUGACCCUCGAUGUAUAAGAUUAAUGAACCGAACCGAACGAUAGAAACCAUCUUUCUUUAUUGACAACUCUAUUGCUAUAGUCCCCGUUCUUUAUACCCUUCGGAUUUCCUGAUGAGAUUCAUUCUCCUAGUUUGGAAUAUGGGAUUGGUGGCCUUGCCUUUCCCUUGUUUAAAAAGAGCUUUCAUAGGAUACACAUGGAAUUGAAAGAGAGCAACCGUACUUUUGCUUAUACUGGAGACGCACCCGAACCCUUCACUAUCGGAAUAGGACAUCCUACUUACUGCUUUAUGGGACUAGCAGCUUUACUACUCUUUCUUUUGACUCGGGAAAAAGCCUUUCACUCAUACUCUUAUAACGCGAGAGAACGAUCUGAAGCCGGCUGGCUCGGCCUAUAUUAAUGAUGAAAGUGGAUUAGUGCUUAAGGUGUCUUGCUACUAUAUUACUUGGUGCACAAAAUGCGUUUCUUAAAGCAAGGUGCUAAGAGCCAAGGCAAUAAUGUAGUACUUAAGUCAGAGGUGAAGCUGCCGAUAUUCUUUCAACAAGUAUUAGGCUUAAAAGAGGUGGGUUUGGUUUGUUUGCCCUAGUGACUUUGAUAGCUAAAGAAAACUGCUACGUGGUUUGUUUGCCCUAGUGACUUUGAUAGCUAAAGAAAACUGCUACAAGCAACGGCUUUCGAACACUAAUAAGCAAAGGUUGAUCCUUCAGAGCGUAAGGUCAAUCUGUACUGCUGAAGAAGGCGUAUACCUUAGGUGAGAUAAGUAAGCUGUGUCAUAAGCCGGCCUUUGACUUUGAAAAGUCCCCACGAUAGAAGUAAGUAAUGAAUGCGCCAGUGUCCCGGAAUAGAAGCAAGCAUAUGAUUGAUUGAAUUAAGUGGCUUAAGUGGCACUCAUAAGUAGUCUUGGUCCCAUCACUAUGCCAGCUCUUGUCAUGCGGGCUUACAAAUGCGGAAUAAAAGGGUUCCGUUUGCCUUUGGUAAAGAUGGGGAACACCCGCUCGCUCACCAGCAAAUUCAGGCUUCUUUGAAAAACUUGCUGCGGGGUAGCCCUUCCGUUUUGAAGCCCCUUCCUUCCCGUCCUAUGGAAGACCAAAAGUAGGCCUAUUACGAUAGGAUAGGGCAAAGAAAGCAUAUUCGAGUUUCUUUCUUUGCCGCCAAUCAAGGUCUGUCUUGUAUAAGCGAGCAGGCAGGAAUGAAGGCUAGACCGAUACAAUAAAUAGAUUACCACAACUAGAAUCGAAUUGAUUUCGAAAUGAACUAUAUUCCAAUCAAAGAAAUGCAAAAGAGAAAUAAGGAACCGGACUGGACUAAUAAGGCGGCCUUGAACGUUGAUUCAAUUACUGGUGGAAGGAAGAAUGCAUUACCCAUAGAAGAGGAGAAAGGUGCUAAAAGCCUGCCGAUCUUUGAUCCAACAAAGCUAUGCAAGAAGAAAAGCAUAUACCCAUUGACCGGUACAAAAGCCAUCUCCAUCAAUCUACGCUCAUGGAUGAUACAGUAACUAUAGAGAAAAAGGUGGGCGGGGGGAACGAAAGAAAUGUGUUGCUGAGGGUAGGAGAGAAAGAACACAUGCAUGGAAAUUCUUUAUGUCUAUGGUUAAAAAGAAUCAAUUAUAGGAAAGGACAUCUAAGACUAAAGAAUCAUUAUAGGAAAGGGAAAGCAGUCGUCAAUCAGGCUAAAGAAUCAUUAUAGGAAGGACAUCUAAGGCUAAGGAAUCAUUAUAGGAAGGACAUAACAAAGAAGUGGUGAUCUCAUCUCGUCUUGCUUGCUGGGAGAGAGGAAGCUUCCUUACCACCUUUUCCAGCCAUAUAGCGAGCGAUCACUAAGCAAUGAACACUAACUUCAAGCGUCCGAGAAGGAAGGACGGACUGCCUAUACCUUACGGGAAUGGAACCUCAUUCUUCGACAUUACAAGUGUACGGGGCUCCUUACCUCUUCCUAAUACUUUGAUUCUAUUAUUUAUUUACUUACCUCUUCCUAAUACUUUGAUUCUAUUAUUUAUUUCCAGGGCCAAGUAGACUAAGUGCUAAGGCGUCAGUUCAAUUAUAAGGAGCAAUCGGUUCUGCAAGUGAAGUGGACUACCCGGACUGCUAUGUAUAAGAAAUCACUAUCAAUUAAUUCUUCUCUUUAUGUAUAAGAAAUCACUAUCAAUUAAUUCUUCUCUUAUUAAGGAUAAUGUUUAGAAAGACACUCGCUACUACUCUAGCAAGUCCUGUGUUCGUCAAACCAGCGCAUCGCAUCUACUAAUAGGAGAGUCAGAAAACCACUCAGAACUUAGGCUUUCACUACUCAAUUCAAAGCUGUCCUGACUUACUUGGAUUCUUUAACUCCUAAGCACUGAUCCUUUCUUUACUGAACUCAAAGUUGCCCCAUUCCAACAACGCUUACGACGAUCUUUACUUGUUCAUUGAAACCCACCACUCCUUUCUUUCCAUUUAAAGUAGUAAAUACAAAAUGACUGGUUGGAGUAGCAAAGCCUUACUUUGACUUGUGAGUUGACUUCCACUACGGAGUUGUUUUCUUUAUUAUCAAAUUCCUUAUUCCGUUUUCAUAUGUAAUCGUAUGUAAUAUUGAUUAGUGAUUUAUUAGCGAAACUGGGGCAAAAACCAGUCCCAAAACUGUAGUGAUUUUUCCGUUUACCUGAUAGCUCUUGUGCAGGUGUUCAGUCAACAUAACUCUUCUAGGUCAACAUCUUUCUUCUAAGUAUCGGUGCACUAAGGUACUGAUGUGACUCCCCGUUGAGAUCAAGAAUAAUAAGGAGACUUACCUUACGCAGUAGCGCAUGUGCUAUAGGUGUAUGAGGAAGCCGGGUAUUCAAUUAGAAUCCAAGUUUCAAUAAGGAAUGAAGAGUCAGAGGGCUAGGCUGGAGUUUUUGUUGUAAAUAAAGGAAUGAGAAAUGAACCCAUGCCAACAGGAAUCCACCAACUAACAAUGCAGAAUGAUACUAAUAAGUCGUAAUGUGACUCAUAAGUCCAAGAAGGCAGAUAUCUGAAUAACCCCACUGACAACAUGACGUUAACUACUCACUAUAAGAAUCGUUACUUACUGGAAAGAAUCAAACCACUGCCAGCAAGAAUACACCUAGCGCUGACAGGGCUAAAACAAUCAACUGGGGAUUCAACUACCCACUAUUACACGCCAGAACAAGCCUUAUUUCUCAUAUAGAGGAAAAAAGAGCCUUACUCGCCUGUAGACCAACAACUCAUCUCGGGGAGUCAAUCUUACUUCACAAACCAAGCCCUACAGCCUCUUGUCUCAAACUUCAACUACUCCCUUGGAUUCUGUAAUUCAUAGCUGGCCUUUUCACUCCCCACUCUAAGCCUAUAACAAACUCGGGCUCGGUAAUAACAAAGAGGCGCAGGACACUCUCAUAACUCCCGAACACAGGACUUAGUCAUAACGAGUUAUAAUGCAUUUAUUUGUGGCUAUGCUUUUGUAGCCCAAACUCCUUAGAUUGUAGCUGACUUACCGGAUCCUGUUCGAACUUCUUAUCCAGCUCUAUCUGGUGCUUCAGAUACGAGAACUCUCGCUGGCCACUCUGCAGCCAAUGAUCUAUAUUCUAUUCCCAACACGUACUCAAUUGCAAGAAAGAGAAAGGUUGUCGAUUUGCUUCUCCUCUGCGCAAGUUCCAUUAAUGAUUUAUAGAAUAGAAUGGAUCCACAGUUCCUUUUGUUUAGGUGCGCGUGUUGUAUCCGAUUUGAGCAAAUAUACCUUGCGAAACUUAGAACUAAUAUACCUUGCGAAACUUCCCAGUAGUGGAUAGAGUAGUCCAAGUCGUCUAAUUGAAGCUGCAAGGAAAGGAGAAGAAAGUAUGGUUUGUUUCAGUUGACAGAUCUGGCUCAGAAGAAAGAGAAGUUUCAAGAUCUGUUAAAUAAAGUUCAAUAUAUGCUUACUGCUCAUCCCAGUCAUUCCUGCUUCGAUCUCCAAAAGGAUGCUUCGCUGCCUCUUCCCAGCUCUCCCUGUCAUCUGGACAUCCCAUAAAUUCUCUAAUAGCGUUUUCUCCAUAAAUCCUCUAACAGGGCUCUCCAGAGUUCCUCCCGCAACCUUCAACCUAAUCCCCCUAUUUAGAGUCAACUCUUCCUAUUGAGCUUUGCUGGUAAAAUAGGUUUUUCAAUAGGAACCUCCCGCGUAGCCACUUUCCUGGCUUCCAAUAAUUAGAGUUUUCCAAGAUGAUGCUCAUAGCCAUAGAUUUUGGAAAGUUAUCUAUAUGAGCUUGCACCGGCCACGUAGCAAAGACAACCUUCAACCUAUUUAGUUUCCUUCGAAGGAAGCUCCUCUCAAAGGGUAAUUCACAUGAUGAGCUUGGAUUUAGUUGUAGCUCGGGCUGUUGCUUUUCGAUACAUCCUAAAGUUAUGGGUCAGUAAGUGUUAUUGAAGAGAAACAAGCUUUCCCACGCGAUUUGUUGCUCCUCUGAUUCUAUAAGCCCGAGCCCUAGUUUCUCCCCCAGUGGCACGUAUGCGAAUUCAAAAGCGGUUAGGGUAUCGGUUGUGUUUGUUGAAUGAACUGCCUCGGCUGCAUAUAUGCCAAAAGCCCCCAUUCCUCUGUUCCUGGUUCGCCCUCUUUCUUAUGUUAUGUCGGACUAGGAUUUUCGCGAUUGAUCCCUUUUUUUUGGUUAUCAAAGCUCUAUCGUCUUACUGGCUCUAUCGUCUUACUGGAUUAAUGAAUGGAGGUUUUCUUGCUUGAUUUAGCGCUCAAGCCUAUUUUCCUCACAAAUGACGAAUAAUACAAUCUGUGCUAACUCCUCGUUAUACAUGAUUUUCACGCGUUCAGCAGCAUCAUGCCAAUACUAACCUUUCUGCUGUAGCCUCCUUAGUAUGCACCCGUAUAAUGUGGUGUGGCUAUUACUCUUUCCUCUUGCAGCUCCGCAACUUUGGAAGUCAACUUGAACCUAAGAAAUCUUUAGUGGAAGCUUUCAUGAGCAGAGCAGCUAAACAUCUAUUUGGUAAAUCAGUGAUUACAAUAAUCGGUACAUUCCUUUUUUUGUGGAAGGGAGCUUGGGACUUUAUAGAAAGUCUGAAACUAUUACCCCCAAGUAUUUGGAGUAGCGCUACCGGUUUUACAGCCAUGAAAUUGAGGUUGGUUUUGGUGUCUUAUCGCGGGUCCUCUUCCAAGUAGAAAUCAUCGAAAACCCAUAGAUCGGAGUAGUCGUGUGCUCCACUAUAAUCUGGAAAUCCAGAACAACUAGGUGAAUAAAUGUAAAGUACCCGGCUAAGCAUUUGGCACAAGAGUUUCUUUUGCGUAGCAUACCAUAGAGCAGUAGCAGCUUGGUCAUGGGUGGUCUUUCAAAGAGAAGAUUCGUUGCUAUCCAAUCGAGUAGCAGGUAUCUUUCACCCAGAUCCUCGAAUUUCUACUUACUCGGGUAGUUCUUCUGCUUCAAGUACGUUUCAAACCUUGCUUGCUGGCUAUUUUCCUUUUUCAAACCUUGCUUGCUGGCUAUUUUCCUUCAUUAGUAUUUCCCGAGUUUCCUCGAAAAUGGUUUAUAGAGCAUGGAUGUUAUUUACUAGGUUCUCCCGCUGUUCAGGAUCAUCAGAAACCUGUGACCACUCAUCCAUUUCCUUCCACUUUUGAACUAUUGUAAUUAAUGGGUUAUUGUGGAUUUGGAUGUGUUUCCUGCGCCUUCGCCAUCUCUUUGAUUCUGCUUGGCCUCAACUAUGUGUAGCUCCACCGCAUUAGCCAGACCUUGUACGGGCUUUUCCCUUGAGUGGACGAGCCUUCUUCAUUCACAGAGAAACCUGCUCUUUGCUUAUUGGGCUUCAAUCUCCAUCCUAGUGUCUUUGCCUCCUCCACUGAUAUCAAGUUUUGGGUAGGACCCCAGUUUACGAUGGCCCGAGUCUUCUUCCCAUGGAUUCCCACUUCAACCCUUUUAUCACCGACUUGGACUUCUCUUUUGCCAUGGCAUUGAUCCGCUUUCAAUAUCCAAAUUGCACUCCUCAUCUGGCUCCUAUAUUUUGUUCCUUAUAAGAAAAUAGGUAACGAGUUCGCUCAAUCCCAUGUAUAGAUGAUCGAAAACCAAGUUGCUAACUCUCGCCAUCAGCCAAUCGAGCCGCAAGAAUGUCAAAAGAGAAAAGUAUCUUUUUCGAGUGAUUGCAGAACACGAUCCGCGAUAAGAAGCACAUCCAUCAGAAAGAAAGGCCCAAUGCUCCUUUGCAAGACUAGCCACUCUUAUAGAAAGGAAAUCUUAUAGAAAGGAAAGGAGAAACUGUUCAAAACUAACUGCUCUAGCAUCUUUCUAUCCAUGCGACAUCUCUUGCUUUCUGGGAGGGUAGCGCAGGCCAAAUACGGAAGCCCUAAGAGCUGCGAUAGCCACUCGAAGCUAGAAAGAAAAGCUGCCAACGGAAAGAGGGCGUGGCUGUAAGUCUGUUCAACCAUUCACUCUGUACUUGAACCUCCCCUCUAACUCGAUCGGAAGGAGGGGGAAGAUCUUACUCGACGUCUAUCAUUUCGAUCGGAUAGCUAUCUCACUGCCAUUCUCGCUUCUUCUGUGCUUUGUCGGCCUUUUAGUGUGCUGUGCCCCUCUUCGUUUUCUUGGUUCGCUCUCUCGGGUCAGUAGGGGCGGCGGUGUAAGGAAAAACAAACCCCUCUCGGCGAAGGGGAUGGACGGAUGAAAAGGCUGGUGCGUACGUUUACAUAGCUUUUUGUACCACGACCCGACGGGUUCAAGAGAGAGAUCGACCAGAAAGGAUGACUGCUGCUUUCAUGCUGUUCUAUUCCUUUUUGUCUUUUCUUGUUUGUCGUGAAGAAACUAUUUCAUGGACGUUAAAUAGAGAUUGAUAGCAAAGAGAGUUGGAGUCGCGAAGAAACUAUUUCAUGGACGUUAAAUAGAGAUUGAUAGCAAAGAGAGUUAGAACGCGGUCUCGUAGGGUGGGUUUCCUCUUAUCCGCCCCUUAUUCGAGGCAUGCCAAGAAGGUAUCGAGCCACUCGCUUAGAGUUCGGUGCUAGGAUCUACCCCCUUACUUAAGGCUAGUUCAGCUAUAAGAGAAGAAAGCGACCAAAAGCAUCGUAAUAGACGCAAGAGCAAGCUGCACCCACCAGGUAAUACUAGUACUUAAGAAUCGGCUCUGAAGCUUGGCCCGCCUUCUGCUUCGUUGGUUGUUAAGAGAGAGCCCCUCCCUGUAAAGCAUUAGGGGGUUUUCAUAGGGGCGGGUCUGUGUGUGGGGGCGAGUAUAGGACACCGAUAAAGAGGCCCCGCUCUCUUGGGCUUCCUUAGCAAACCGAUACAGGGAGCAAAGGCAAUAGGUGGAUGUUCGCCUCGCUUCUGAACUCAGUGACUUAUAUAUCUAUUUCUUAUUGAAGAAGCUUGUUCGAUAGGAGCAAGCGGAAUAAGCGAGUUUAGUAUACGACCCGAGUUCUCAGACAGUAAUAGCCUUUUUCUUCUUUCGCCUGGAGCCGGAUAUGAACUAAAGGGAUCGAUCCCAAUUGCCUGAGUUCUUUACCUUUUUCCUUCUAUUCCUUAUUAUCAAGGAAAUAGCACCACAGUGAAAGCAGAAGACGAAGAAUACUCUCGGCUGGCACUUGGGAUCUUUCUUAAAUGAAAUAAAUUACCUUACGGGUAAGGAAGGGUAUUUACUACUCUAUGGCAAUUUCGCUUAUUCCUUCUAACCCGACAACAUAGGAUAUGCCGCCAGCGGCAAGAGCUUUUAUUAUGAAACGGAAACCUUUUCUUUUCUGGGGAACUACGAAAGAAUGGAAUCCGGGGGUGCCCAAACCUUUUGGCUUAGUUCAUACUUAUUGCUUCAUUUAACAAGAGAGAAGACCUACUCUAUUUCCUUGCUCGAUGCGAGGAGAGAAAAAAGCAUUUCUAGAGUCAAUAAGAAUUUCCAUUAAUUUCAAGGGAGCUGCAAGAGAGGAGAGAGUUGGGACAAAGAAUAGGAAUCGAAUUCAUUCCUACAUUAGCAUUUGAGUCCGGUGGGAUUGAUGGACAGAAGGAAGUGAGAUAGCUUUUCGGAUGAGCAUACAUUAUUGUAGCAUUGAUACCGAGAAGGAGCUCUGCUCUUUGAUAGAUGUAAAAGAAUAAGAAGUUUUGAAAGGUCACUUGAUCUAGAUGCGGAGUAUCGUUUGCACAGAGAACCUUUUUGAUUCCUUUUCAUUUCAAUAAAUAAGAAGAGGUGGUCUUUCAAUAAAUAAGAGGUGGUGGUCUUUCAAUAAAUAAGAGGUGGUGGUCAAGACCUUAGGAAGCUCGACGCAUCUAGUUUCGGUCUUGCUAACAGGCGAAAAAAAGGAUGUUGGCCUUCCCAUUGGAAGUAGGGAAAGGGGACCCCACUGAGAAUCCACCAGAGAAUCCACCCGGCCAAAAAUGCCAGUAUCCAUUUAGCAUAUAUAUCCAUUUGGAUCUUAUUCCAGUUUCAGGGGUGUAAUGUGCCUAUUCUAUAACUUACAUUAUGGGUAUGCCUGAUAUGAUAACUUCAAGAAAGAGCUGGGUAUGCGGAUAUUCUCACUUCAAGCUUCAAGCAGUUUUGUUACUCCAUAUUUCUAUACUAUAUGAAACUUCAAUUAUGCAAAAUGGUCAAAUAUAUAUCAUUUCCACUCAAGUACUCAGUGUACUCAGUGCAACUCAUCUUUUGGAAAAUAUAUAAUAUAUCAUUUCCACUCAACAAGAGCUCCGUAAGCAGAAGUGAAAGACCAAAUUGAUUCAAUAUUGUCCGAUUCAGACUCAAUUCAAUGAUUUCGAACAAAUGCGAAAGAACAAGUAAGCAAGGCAGGCAAGGCAAGUGAGUUCGCCCAUGAUGGAGUUCAGUCAGCAGUUCAAACAAGCAAGGAAACAAGCCCUAGUGCAUUAUAAGUUGAGUUCUUCAAGUCAAGUUUCGAUUCCAUUCCAGUUGUUGGCGAAAGAAAGGAAGCUUCAAUGGAAAGUUUCGUUUUCGUUUCAAGAUCCGCUCUUAAAGCAAAGGUAUAAAGUAGUCAAGUGGCCAGGCUGAUGCUUAUGCGCUCGGAAAGAUCCGUAUUUGCAAGAGGGCGAGCGAGUGUACGAUAACCAUAAGCUGUAUCUGAAGCGGGAAGGGCAAAGCUACUACGUCAGACCAAGCGCCGGGAUGAGCGCGGUUCUAGUGAUAGCUCAAUGUAAUCGACCCUUAUUUCAUCCUAUAUACUUAUUUCAUCCUAUAUAGUUUCAGAAGCUAGAGAAGGUGAUGAAGCAGUUCGGAAUUCAAGUUAAUGGAAAUCAUAUAGUACUUGCGUUUCAUCUAGGUUUCUAGGUUCGGUGUAGGUUCCUUGGCUUUCCCUUUGCGCCCUACCGUUGCUUGUUUUGGUACAAAGAAUGGAGUUGAGCUCAUAGAUUUCAUUCAUAAAGAAAGAGGGAUCUUCUGCCCAAGAUAGAUCAAAUUCCGUAUUUCCUUUUCCUGGUUGACUUUACUCGCCUUAAGAAACAAGCAAAUUGACUUUACUCGCCUUAAGAAACAAGCAAAUAAGAGUCAAGGAAUAGUCUUGCAUGGCUACGGGUCAUAUUCCUACCUUAGAUAUUCAACUCACACAAUUGGCAAACGAGAAUAGCUUGUUCUACUUUCAUACCGAGGAGCGGAAUAAUCCUUCAAUUCCAUCCCACCGGCAGGAUAAGCUGCAACAGAAGAUUGAGUUCGAUAAUCAUCCCAUACAGAAGCAAGAGCAAGAUGAGUAUCAUCAGAUGGAGCAGUGGCAACGAGAUCAGAAGAAAGAGCUGGCUGGGUAUUGGUCUUUAUCCGUAUUCUUGUGUUGGAGAAUAAACUAGAUGCUGGGCGAGGCAAGAUAAGGAGCUGUUUCAGUUGAAAGAUCUAGAUCAUAGUCCGGAGUGAAGUACCAGUGUUCUAUUUGUAUUGGAUAAUAUUCCUCACUACACGGGAUGGAUCGCUAUAGGUCCUAGAUAGCUUACUUGCUUGCUCCUACAAUAACUUGCUCAUAGUUAGAUCGGCCAAUAGCCCUUAGAUCCUUUGGACGGCGCGAAAGACUUAUGGUUUCAACCUCAACAACCUCCUACAUAGAUUGAUAGCACGGAGUAAGAUAAGAUAGAUGAAUAGCAAUGAGCAAGAUAGAUGAAUAGCAAUGAGCAAGUAUGUAAAGUCGAAGUCAAUAAAGAAAGUAGUCUAUCAUGGUCCCGAUCAAUGGUUUCAUUCUGGAUCUUUGGCUGUUUCUAUUCAGAAAGGGGCUGUAAAGUACCCAUCUUCUGUUCAAUGCACUUCCUGUUGAGUGAAAGAAAAUCCUUUAGAAUGGUGCUUGCCAAUCACUCCUUGCCCGAGCAAUACAGUAAAGGCCGUGUCUUAGUGCCCAACAAAAGAUCUUUGCUUUGGAGAGCUAACGUAUAUGUAGCAGCCCUCUGUCCUGUUAGUAUUGGGUGCCUCUCUCUGCCUAAGGGACGAUUGUCAGAUAUGAAUGAAGUAUAAAAGAGAAAGAAUCCCUAAAUCAAUAGGAGGUCUAGAUUACAGCCCACCAGACUUCAACAAAUAAGUAAGAAAGACUCUUUACCUCUAGCUCUUAUAUUGCAUAUUGCAUCCCACCCCUCUUAACCUCUAGCUCUACUUGUAUAGGGUCGAACCUCUCCCGGAACCUUAUAACUAUAAUCUGAAUCUGGUUAGUUUCUCUCAUUUGUGCUUCUUGACAUUCGAUUCUUCCUGAUAGUGUAAGAGAAGGGGAAUUUCCAGAGAUGCUUGACAGGAAAGCAAUAUAAGCACUUUAGGAAAGUCAAAGAGACGUGGGUCUGCUCGAAAGAGGGAAAGGAGGAAGGCUGCCAGUGGUAGAGGUUGUAAAGUCAAGCUGUGAGAGAAUAAGGUGCUUCGCUCUUGCCUCACCCUCGGUCAUCUGCCUGUACCCCAUUCGCCAGUGGCAAGUGCUUGUUGGUCAGUGAAAUAGAUAUCUGCCUUCUUAUAUCUGCUCCGCAAGCCUGUAUGUAUGUAUAGUCAGUCUGUCUCCACCUGUAAGCUUAAGGAAGUGCAGGGCAGUUUCAAGGAAAAGCUUUAAUAUAGAUAGCUCUGAUCUCAGCCACUAGCUAGCAGCCUGCCAGUAGCCUGUGAUCCAGGAAGGGCCAAGACACUGCUUUAGAAAAGAGAAACACAUACGAGCAUUUCUGCUCUAAGGUCUCAAACCGGAAUACCUCAUUUCAGGAGUAUCGAGUUUACUGAACACUAGCAUAUUUACGGAAUUCCUCUGAAAAACCACUCAUCUUUCUCAUAUACUAACUAAGUAGACGCACAGUAGCAAGAAAGCACUAUCCUAAUAUCUCUCCUUAUUAAGGAUAGCGUUUCGACAGAUCUGAUGCCGGGCCCCGAGUGUUAAGAAUACGGAUCCGGUAAGGUUAGAAUUGCUCAUAUGACAAGAAAUAAGGAUAGUUAGUAAGGGAAAAUUCAUUGAGAAUUUCAUAUAUCUUUAUUAAGGAUUUAGAAGCGGGUAAUUCACAAUUCCAUUCCUCAGUAUAUGCUUGCCCUGUUCGUAAACUCUAAAGUCGUAAUUUCAUUGUUUAUAAGGAAAGAAUUCUUUUAGUGCAGAGGUUAUACUAAGUUCAAUAGAGUAUUUGCUUCUUUCAUGGCGUUAGUCCGAAUCUACUCAAGAAUCAGAGGUGUAAGUGGAGUUGUCCAGUUAUGGUUCUAGUUUCAUCAGUUCUAUUAUCUCUUAUAUAUAAGAUAGAAGAUAAGUUGUCAUGUUCUUCUCCCUGCUCAAAGAAAGAAUUUCCGUAGGAAUGUUCCUCUACAGUGUGUGUACAGUGGAAAUUGAAGUUGUUCCCCAUUUUGUUUAUCUUGUUGAGGUGUUAUCGACCCCUUCAGAGCAGACAGAGGUGUUAUCGACUAUUCCUUCAGUAGCAGGCAGAGGUGUUUAAGGAGUAUAAGCCAUAGGAGAGAGAUUAGUUGUUGUUCUUAUACAGAUCUCUGGAAGAGGGUACCGAUCUAGUGCAUUAUCCAAGAGGUAUCCCCUGUGUCAGUAGUAGUGGCUGGGCGGAGUGUCUUUUGCAGGAUCAUUAGCUGAAUAAAGAUCUUGAUCCGGGGAUCCUCAGUGGGAGUAGGAUGCAGAGACUAUUGUCGACUUAACUCUCACUUAUGAUUCUAGAGUUGACUUUCCCUUAGCUACAUUAUCUAGGUAUACCUAGCAACAUUGCUUCCAAGACUAUAGCUACUAAGAAACAUAUGACCAAUUCUACACAAUAGGUAAGGCAAGUUCUAAUUGAACAAAGAAAAAGUGAAGAGCGGAGCAAGAGGGUAAAGAUGUUCGGAUCAAAUUCAUUCUCAGGCAAGUUGAUGAGUUUAAUAAGGAUUUCCCAUAAAACAUAAGAAGUUAUUAAAUAGUUCAUUUGUAGUGUAUACCUUCCCCCUCUUCUGUGAUAGAACCUGUCCUGUCCGAGGUAGGAAAUGGAAAAGUGUCUGUUUGUCUGCUUGUUUAGAAGCAUCAAUGGGCAAUUAUAUGCGGGUCAUGUCCACGCCCAGCGUUCUUCUUCUAGCGAGGCUCCCCUCAAGGACGAGUGCUUUUCUUUCCUUGAUUUCGUUUUCGUGCCUUUACAGUCUCCACAGCAUCUCUAUUCCUGACAAGCCAAUGAGUCUUUCAUAAAGUGGGUUAACCUCAAUAGCUACGAUCGGCAGUUUAGCCCCUUUGUGAUGGGUCUUGCCUGUCCCUCUGAGCUUGGUCGUCACUAUAGGUGGUCUGAUGUCUGUGAGGAGUGCGACAUAACCCUAGAUCCGCUUUUUGAUCCUUCAGAGGUGGCUUGUUACGCCUCUUGGCCUCUACAAGCUUACAUAAAAGGUUUCCCCCUCUCGCAUUCCCUUUCCCUGACCUAUACAUAUAAUGAUGCCUGUCUGCUUUACGCCUUCUCUGCUCCUCUUUCGCCUAGUGGGACUGCCUCUCCUCUCUUUGAGACAGUUCAUUACAAUACCCUUAAGGUGUCUGGUGGCACGGUGAAGUCUACUGUAGUUUUACAUUGAUGCCCAUCGUCGUGUGUUCCCCGCCUUCAUGAGGCAUGGGAGCAUUAGUCUUAUUAGCGUGGUCUGCGCGUUGCUUUGUCCUUCUUUUUCUGUUGUAUGGGUCGUUGUGUCUUGCUAUUUCUGUUAUUCGUUUCGUAUGCCUCUGUGCGCUUUCUCUGCUUAACUAUACAUCAUUCGACCCCCAAGAAAACCCUGUUAGUGGAAUUCUAAGUGUUCUACUAGAUGCGUAAGAUCAUACCCCAUAUCAUAGAAUCGCGU
Molecule: long non-coding RNA, 23669 nt
Filed under: Musa acuminata (dwarf banana)
Lineage: Eukaryota; Viridiplantae; Streptophyta; Magnoliopsida; Zingiberales; Musaceae
Description: long non-coding RNA (MACU_LNC007771)
Source: RNAcentral